Molecule: ribosomal RNA, 398 nt
Filed under: uncultured bacterium
Lineage: Bacteria
Description: partial 16S ribosomal RNA
Rfam family: Bacterial small subunit ribosomal RNA
Source: RNAcentral
AAUUUUGGACAAUGGGCGCAAGCCUGAUCCAGCCAUGCCGCGUGAGUGAAGAAGGCCUUCGGGUCGUAAAGCUCUGUCCUAAGGGAAGAAGAGGACGGUACCUUAGGAGGAAGCCCCGGCUAACUACGUGCCAGCAGCCGCGGUAAUACGUAGGGGGCGAGCGUUAUCCGGAAUUACUGGGCGUAAAGGGUGCGUAGGCGGCCUUUUAAGUCAGAUGUGAAAGGCUACGGCUUAACCAUAGUUAGCAUUUGAAACUAAGAGGCUUGAGUGCAGGAGAGGAGGGUGGAAUUCCUAGUGUAGCGGUGAAAUGCGUAGAUAUUAGGAGGAACACCAGUGGCGAAGGCGACUCUCUGGACUGCAACUGACGCUGAGGCACGAAAGCGUGGGUAGCGAACAGG